This 1385-nucleotide ribosomal RNA is filed under the name human metagenome. RNAcentral describes it as "bacterial LSU rRNA". It matches the Rfam family "Bacterial large subunit ribosomal RNA", at positions 592 to 1977 of the family's 2925-position model. The record is from RNAcentral.
UGUGACGGCGUGCCUUUUGCAUAAUGAACCUACGAGUUGCCGUCGCCGGCGAGGUUAAGCGCAACGAUGCGCGCAGCCGAAGCGAAAGCGAGUCUUAAACGGGCGCAUAGUCCGCGGCGGCAGACGCGAAACCGAGUGAUCUACCCUUGUCCAGGCUGAAGUCCGGGUAACACCGGAUGGAGGGCCGAACCAAUAAGCGUUGAAAAGCUUCUGGAUGAGGUGAGGGUAGGAGUGAAAGGCCAAUCAAACUUGGAGAUAGCUCGUACUCCCCGAAAUGCAUUUAGGUGCAGCCUCGGGAGCUCCCUGCGUGAGGUAGAGCGACUGAUCGGAUGCGAGGGCUUCACCGCCUAUCAAGUCCGGACAAACUCCGAAUGCGUGCAGGUUAGAGACGGGGAGUGAGGGCAUGGGUGCUAAGGUCCGUGCCCGAGAGGAGAAGAAUCCAGACCGCCAGCUAAGGCCCCGAAAUAUGGGUUAAGUUAAACUAACGAAGUUCGGUCCCAGUGACAGCUAGGAUGUUGGCUUGGAAGCAGCCAUUCAUUCAAAGAGUGCGUAACAGCUCACUAGUCGAGGGACGUCGCAUGGAUAAUAAUCGGGUAUGAAAUCUGUAACCGAAGCCGCGGGAUGUCUUAAGACAUCGGUAGGGGAGCAUUCCACCGGCGUUGAAUGUCGAAGAUGACUUCGGCUGGAGCUUGUGGAAAAGCAAAUGUAGGUAUAAGUAACGAUAAAGAGGGUUAGAUGCCCUCUCGCCGAAAGACCAAGGAUUCCCGGGCAACGUUAAUCGCCCCGGGGUUAGUCGGGCCCUAAGGAUAAGCCGAACGGCGAGGCCGAUGGAAGAAACGGUUAAUAUUCCGUUACUGCCUUGCAUGGCGAUGUGGAGACGGAGAAGUGACACUUCCGCGCACUGACGGAAACGUGCGUUGAAGAGUGUAGGCGUAGAUCGUGGUAGGCAAAUCCGCCGCGAGAGCCGAACUUGACAGUACGCAAAGCCUUCGGGCGGCGCGAUAGCGAAGGUAAGCAUGCUCCCGAGAAAAUCCGCUAAGCUUAACAUGCAAGGCACCCGUACCGUAAACGGACACACGUGGUCGGGUAGAAAAUACUAAGGCGCUUGGAAGAUUCACGGUUAAGGAACUAGGCAAAUUGACCCCGUACCUUCGGAAUAAGGGGUCCUCACAGCGAUGUGAGGCGCAGAGAAUAGGUCCAGGCAACUGUUUAACAAAAACACAGGGCUGUGCGAAAUUUAAAGAUGAAGUAUACAGCCUGACACCUGCCCGGUGCCGGAAGGUUAAGAGGAGAUGUCACUCGCAAGAGGAAGCAUUGAAUUGAAGCCCCGGUAAACGGCGGCCGUAACUAUAACGGUCCUAAGGUAGCGAAAUUCCUUGUCGGGU